GCCGCUCCUCGACCCUAUUCCCGUUCGUCACCCAGCUCAACAGUCCACCUCGGUGCUCCAGCACCGGCCCCUCGAAGAGCUGGCUACAGGCCAUCCGUUGCUCCGCCCCUGGAUGCUGCCAUCUGGUGGCUGGCCGUCUCACUCCAAUACACCUCCCUCUCUUUGUGUACUGUUCUCUCUCAAGACUGGAAGUUAUCCCUGAUGUACCCAACGCAAGUUCAACAUCAUCAUCUAAAAAGGUUCGCUGAUAUCAUCACGAGGAAUUCAAAUAUUCAACAGGUUCAUAUAAGAAACCACAUGAAAAUACAAAGAAAAGAAAGAUUCAAAAAUAUGUGGCUGCUGCAUUGGAGUUACUCUGACCCAUGCAAAACUAAAUUGCAGGAAGCAAAAAAGAAAAUCUAUUUACUCAGGGAUGCAAGCAAAUUUCUGGAGCACA
RNAcentral lists this long non-coding RNA (436 nucleotides) under Triticum aestivum (bread wheat). RNAcentral's name for it is "long non-coding RNA (TAES_LNC014987)". Lineage: Eukaryota; Viridiplantae; Streptophyta; Magnoliopsida; Poales; Poaceae. The record is from RNAcentral.